This is a transfer RNA of Camelus ferus (Wild Bactrian camel), 72 nucleotides long. It matches the Rfam family "tRNA". Rfam says of the family: Transfer RNA (tRNA) molecules are approximately 80 nucleotides in length. Their secondary structure includes four short double-helical elements and three loops (D, anti-codon, and T loops). Further hydrogen bonds mediate the characteristic L-shaped molecular structure. tRNAs have two regions of fundamental functional importance: the anti-codon, which is responsible for specific mRNA codon recognition, and the 3' end, to which the tRNAs corresponding amino acid is attached (by aminoacyl-tRNA synthetases). tRNAs cope with the degeneracy of the genetic code in two manners: having more than one tRNA (with a specific anti-codon) for a particular amino acid; and 'wobble' base-pairing, i.e. permitting non-standard base-pairing at the 3rd anti-codon position. Lineage: Eukaryota; Metazoa; Chordata; Mammalia; Artiodactyla; Camelidae. The record is from Rfam.
GAGGGUAUAGCUCAGUGGUAGAGCGCAUGCUUAGCAUGCAUGAGGUCCUGGGUUCAAUCCCCAGUACCUCCA